GGUGGGGUUCCCGAGCGGUUAAAGGGAGCAGACUGUAAAUCUGCCGUCACAGACUUCGAAGGUUCGAAUCCUUCCCCCACCA
RNAcentral lists this transfer RNA (82 nucleotides) under Candidatus Moranella endobia PCIT. It matches the Rfam family "tRNA". Rfam says of the family: Transfer RNA (tRNA) molecules are approximately 80 nucleotides in length. Their secondary structure includes four short double-helical elements and three loops (D, anti-codon, and T loops). Further hydrogen bonds mediate the characteristic L-shaped molecular structure. tRNAs have two regions of fundamental functional importance: the anti-codon, which is responsible for specific mRNA codon recognition, and the 3' end, to which the tRNAs corresponding amino acid is attached (by aminoacyl-tRNA synthetases). tRNAs cope with the degeneracy of the genetic code in two manners: having more than one tRNA (with a specific anti-codon) for a particular amino acid; and 'wobble' base-pairing, i.e. permitting non-standard base-pairing at the 3rd anti-codon position. The record is from Rfam by way of RNAcentral. Lineage: Bacteria; Pseudomonadati; Pseudomonadota; Gammaproteobacteria; Enterobacterales; Enterobacteriaceae.